Molecule: ribosomal RNA, 2921 nt
Filed under: Staphylococcus aureus DAR5894
Lineage: Bacteria; Bacillati; Bacillota; Bacilli; Caryophanales; Staphylococcaceae
Also listed under: 1 other name
Description: bacterial LSU rRNA
Rfam family: Bacterial large subunit ribosomal RNA
Source: RNAcentral
UUAAGUUAUUAAGGGCGCACGGUGGAUGCCUUGGCACUAGAAGCCGAUGAAGGACGUUACUAACGACGAUAUGCUUUGGGGAGCUGUAAGUAAGCUUUGAUCCAGAGAUUUCCGAAUGGGGAAACCCAGCAUGAGUUAUGUCAUGUUAUCGAUAUGUGAAUACAUAGCAUAUCAGAAGGCACACCCGGAGAACUGAAACAUCUUAGUACCCGGAGGAAGAGAAAGAAAAUUCGAUUCCCUUAGUAGCGGCGAGCGAAACGGGAAGAGCCCAAACCAACAAGCUUGCUUGUUGGGGUUGUAGGACACUCUGUACGGAGUUACAAAGGACGACAUUAGACGAAUCAUCUGGAAAGAUGAAUCAAAGAAGGUAAUAAUCCUGUAGUCGAAAAUGUUGUCUCUCUUGAGUGGAUCCUGAGUACGACGGAGCACGUGAAAUUCCGUCGGAAUCUGGGAGGACCAUCUCCUAAGGCUAAAUACUCUCUAGUGACCGAUAGUGAACCAGUACCGUGAGGGAAAGGUGAAAAGCACCCCGGAAGGGGAGUGAAAUAGAACCUGAAACCGUGUGCUUACAAGUAGUCAGAGCCCGUUAAUGGGUGAUGGCGUGCCUUUUGUAGAAUGAACCGGCGAGUUACGAUUUGAUGCAAGGUUAAGCAGUAAAUGUGGAGCCGUAGCGAAAGCGAGUCUGAAUAGGGCGUUUAGUAUUUGGUCGUAGACCCGAAACCAGGUGAUCUACCCUUGGUCAGGUUGAAGUUCAGGUAACACUGAAUGGAGGACCGAACCGACUUACGUUGAAAAGUGAGCGGAUGAACUGAGGGUAGCGGAGAAAUUCCAAUCGAACCUGGAGAUAGCUGGUUCUCUCCGAAAUAGCUUUAGGGAUAGCCUCAAGUGAUGAUUAUUGGAGGUAGAGCACUGUUUGGACGAGGGGCCCCUCUCGGGUUACCGAAUUCAGACAAACUCCGAAUGCCAAUUAAUUUAACUUGGGAGUCAGAACAUGGGUGAUAAGGUCCGUGUUCGAAAGGGAAACAGCCCAGACCACCAGCUAAGGUCCCAAAAUAUAUGUUAAGUGGAAAAGGAUGUGGCGUUGCCCAGACAACUAGGAUGUUGGCUUAGAAGCAGCCAUCAUUUAAAGAGUGCGUAAUAGCUCACUAGUCGAGUGACACUGCGCCGAAAAUGUACCGGGGCUAAACAUAUUACCGAAGCUGUGGAUUGUCCUUUGGACAAUGGUAGGAGAGCGUUCUAAGGGCGUUGAAGCAUGAUCGUAAGGACAUGUGGAGCGCUUAGAAGUGAGAAUGCCGGUGUGAGUAGCGAAAGACGGGUGAGAAUCCCGUCCACCGAUUGACUAAGGUUUCCAGAGGAAGGCUCGUCCGCUCUGGGUUAGUCGGGUCCUAAGCUGAGGCCGACAGGCGUAGGCGAUGGAUAACAGGUUGAUAUUCCUGUACCACCUAUAAUCGUUUUAAUCGAUGGGGGGACGCAGUAGGAUAGGCGAAGCGUGCGAUUGGAUUGCACGUCUAAGCAGUAAGGCUGAGUAUUAGGCAAAUCCGGUACUCGUUAAGGCUGAGCUGUGAUGGGGAGAAGACAUUGUGUCUUCGAGUCGUUGAUUUCACACUGCCGAGAAAAGCCUCUAGAUAGAAAAUAGGUGCCCGUACCGCAAACCGACACAGGUAGUCAAGAUGAGAAUUCUAAGGUGAGCGAGCGAACUCUCGUUAAGGAACUCGGCAAAAUGACCCCGUAACUUCGGGAGAAGGGGUGCUCUUUAGGGUUAACGCCCAGAAGAGCCGCAGUGAAUAGGCCCAAGCGACUGUUUAUCAAAAACACAGGUCUCUGCUAAACCGUAAGGUGAUGUAUAGGGGCUGACGCCUGCCCGGUGCUGGAAGGUUAAGAGGAGUGGUUAGCUUCUGCGAAGCUACGAAUCGAAGCCCCAGUAAACGGCGGCCGUAACUAUAACGGUCCUAAGGUAGCGAAAUUCCUUGUCGGGUAAGUUCCGACCCGCACGAAAGGCGUAACGAUUUGGGCACUGUCUCAACGAGAGACUCGGUGAAAUCAUAGUACCUGUGAAGAUGCAGGUUACCCGCGACAGGACGGAAAGACCCCGUGGAGCUUUACUGUAGCCUGAUAUUGAAAUUCGGCACAGCUUGUACAGGAUAGGUAGGAGCCUUUGAAACGUGAGCGCUAGCUUACGUGGAGGCGCUGGUGGGAUACUACCCUAGCUGUGUUGGCUUUCUAACCCGCACCACUUAUCGUGGUGGGAGACAGUGUCAGGCGGGCAGUUUGACUGGGGCGGUCGCCUCCUAAAAGGUAACGGAGGCGCUCAAAGGUUCCCUCAGAAUGGUUGGAAAUCAUUCAUAGAGUGUAAAGGCAUAAGGGAGCUUGACUGCGAGACCUACAAGUCGAGCAGGGUCGAAAGACGGACUUAGUGAUCCGGUGGUUCCGCAUGGAAGGGCCAUCGCUCAACGGAUAAAAGCUACCCCGGGGAUAACAGGCUUAUCUCCCCCAAGAGUUCACAUCGACGGGGAGGUUUGGCACCUCGAUGUCGGCUCAUCGCAUCCUGGGGCUGUAGUCGGUCCCAAGGGUUGGGCUGUUCGCCCAUUAAAGCGGUACGCGAGCUGGGUUCAGAACGUCGUGAGACAGUUCGGUCCCUAUCCGUCGUGGGCGUAGGAAAUUUGAGAGGAGCUGUCCUUAGUACGAGAGGACCGGGAUGGACAUACCUCUGGUGUACCAGUUGUCGUGCCAACGGCAUAGCUGGGUAGCUAUGUGUGGACGGGAUAAGUGCUGAAAGCAUCUAAGCAUGAAGCCCCCCUCAAGAUGAGAUUUCCCAACUUCGGUUAUAAGAUCCCUCAAAGAUGAUGAGGUUAAUAGGUUCGAGGUGGAAGCAUGGUGACAUGUGGAGCUGACGAAUACUAAUCGAUCGAAGACUUAAUCAA